This 808-nucleotide ribosomal RNA is filed under the name uncultured Acidobacteriota bacterium. RNAcentral's name for it is "bacterial SSU rRNA". It matches the Rfam family "Bacterial small subunit ribosomal RNA", at positions 8 to 796 of the family's 1533-position model. The record is from RNAcentral. Lineage: Bacteria; Pseudomonadati; Acidobacteriota.
AGAGUUUGAUCAUGGCUCAGAAUCAACGCUGGCGGCGUGCCUCAGACAUGCAAGUCGAACGCGAAAGGCCCCUUCGGGGGCCGAGUAGAGUGGCGUCCGGGUGAGUAACACGUAGGUAAUCUACCUCUGGGUGGGGAAUAACAGCCGGAAACGGCUGCUAAUACCGCAUAACGCAGCGGCACCACAUGGUGACAGUUGUUAAAGCGGGGGAUCGUAAGACCUCGCGCCUGGAGAGGAGCCUGCGGCGGAUUAGCUAGUUGGCGGGGUAACGGCCCACCAAGGCGACGAUCCGUAGCCGGCCUGAGAGGGCGGUCGGCCACACUGGCACUGACACACGGGCCAGACUCCUACGGGAGGCAGCAGUCGGGAAUUUUGGGCAAUGGGCGAAAGCCUGACCCAGCAACGCCGCGUGAAGGAUGAAGUUUCUCGGAAUGUAAACUUCAUAAGAAUGGGACGAAUAAGGAGGGGUUAAUACCCCCUUCGAUGACUGUACCAUUUGUAAGCCCCGGCUAACUCCGUGCCAGCAGCCGCGGUAAUACGGGGGGGGCAAGCGUUGUUCGGAUUUACUGGGCGUAAGGGCGCGUAGGCGGCGCAACAAGUCACUUGUGAAAUCUCCGGGCUUAACUCGGAGCGGCCAAGUGAUACUGUCGUGCUAGAGUGCGGAAGGGGCUACUGGAAUUCUCGGUGUAGCGGUGAAAUGCGUAGAUAUCGAGAGGAACACCUGCGGCGAAGGCGGGUAGCUGGGCCGACACUGACGCUGAGGCGCGAAAGCCAGGGGAGCGAACGGGAUUAGAUACCCUUGUAGUCC